CGUAGGGUGCGAGCGUUGUCCGGAAUUAUUGGGCGUAAAGAGCUUGUAGGCGGUUUGUCGCGUCUGCCGUGAAAAUCCGGGGCUCAACCCCGAACUUGCGGUGGGUACGGGCAGACUAGAGUGUGGUAGGGGAGACUGGAAUUCCUGGUGUAGCGGUGAAAUGCGCAGAUAUCAGGAGGAACACCGAUGGCGAAGGCAGGUCUCUGGGCCACUACUGACGCUGAGAAGCGAAAGCGUGGGGGAGCGAACAGGAUU
Molecule: ribosomal RNA, 255 nt
Filed under: uncultured bacterium
Lineage: Bacteria
Description: partial 16S ribosomal RNA
Rfam family: Bacterial small subunit ribosomal RNA
Source: RNAcentral